UACGUAGGGCGCAAGCGUUAUCCGGAAUUAUUGGGCGUAAAGAGCUCGUAGGCGGUUUGUCGCGUCUGCCGUGAAAGUCCGGGGCUCAACUCCGGAUCUGCGGUGGGUACGGGCAGACUAGAGUGAUGUAGGGGAGACUGGAAUUCCUGGUGUAGCGGUGGAAUGCGCAGAUAUCAGGAGGAACACCAGUGGCGAAGGCGGCUACCUGGACCGGUUCUGACGCUGAGGCGCGAAAGCGUGGGUAGCAAACAGG
This 253-nucleotide ribosomal RNA is filed under the name uncultured bacterium. Its description in RNAcentral is "partial 16S ribosomal RNA". It matches the Rfam family "Bacterial small subunit ribosomal RNA", at positions 524 to 776 of the family's 1533-position model. The record is from RNAcentral.